UACGGGGGGGGCAAGCGUUGUUCGGAAUUACUGGGCGUAAAGGGCUCGUAGGCGGCCAACUAAGUCGGAUGUGAAAUCCCCAAGCUUAACUUGGGAACUGCAUCCGAUACUGAAUGGCUUGAAUUCGGGAGAGGGAUGCAGAAUUCCAGGUGUAGCGGUGAAAUGCGUAGAUAUCUGGAGGAAUACCGGUGGCGAAGGCGGCAUCCUGGACCGACAUUGACGCUGAGGAGCGAAAGCCAGGGGAGCAAACGGG
RNAcentral lists this ribosomal RNA (253 nucleotides) under uncultured bacterium. RNAcentral's name for it is "partial 16S ribosomal RNA". It matches the Rfam family "Bacterial small subunit ribosomal RNA", at positions 524 to 776 of the family's 1533-position model. The record is from RNAcentral.